RNAcentral lists this transfer RNA (76 nucleotides) under Desulfosporosinus acididurans. RNAcentral describes it as "tRNA-Glu". It matches the Rfam family "tRNA". Rfam says of the family: Transfer RNA (tRNA) molecules are approximately 80 nucleotides in length. Their secondary structure includes four short double-helical elements and three loops (D, anti-codon, and T loops). RNAcentral also lists the same sequence under 1 other name. Lineage: Bacteria; Bacillati; Bacillota; Clostridia; Eubacteriales; Desulfitobacteriaceae. The record is from RNAcentral.
GGCCCCAUAGUCAAGAGGCCUAAGACGCUGCCCUCUCAAGGCGGAAACACGGGUUCGAAUCCCGUUGGGGCUACCA